RNAcentral lists this transfer RNA (71 nucleotides) under Pelagophyceae sp. RCC2696. The record is from RNAcentral. Lineage: Eukaryota; Pelagophyceae.
CGUUCAACUGGUGUUUCCCGUUAUACCACUAAAAAAAAUCGAAGAAAUACGCCAAAUCGAAUUGAGAUAAA